RNAcentral lists this ribosomal RNA (468 nucleotides) under uncultured bacterium. RNAcentral's name for it is "partial 16S ribosomal RNA". It matches the Rfam family "Bacterial small subunit ribosomal RNA", at positions 28 to 507 of the family's 1533-position model. The record is from RNAcentral.
GACGAACGCUGGCGGCGUGCUUAACACAUGCAAGUCGAACGGUAAGGCCCUAGCUUGGUCUGCUGGAUCAGUGGCGAACGGGUGAGUCACACGUGAGCAAUCUGCCCCUGACUCUGGGAUAAGCGCUGGAAACGGCGUCUCAUACUGGAUACGAGCUCCGCAUGCAUGUUCAUCAGAUGCACCGAACGUCGGUCAGGGAUGCGCUCGCGGCCUAUCAGCUUGUUGGUGGGGUACCGGCUAACCAAGGCGUCGACGGGUAGCCGGCCUGAGAGGGUGACCGGCCACACUGGGACUGAGACACGGCCCAGACUCCUACGGGAGGCAGCAGUGGGGAAUAUUGCACAAGGGGCGAAAGCCUGAGGCAGCAACGCCGCGUGGGGGAGGACGGCCUUCGGGUGGUAAACCUCUUUUGGCGGGGAAGAAGCGAUAGUGACGGUACCUGCAGAAGAAGCACCGGCUAACUACGUG